Molecule: transfer RNA, 72 nt
Filed under: Patescibacteria group bacterium
Lineage: Bacteria
Description: tRNA-Arg
Rfam family: tRNA
About the family: Transfer RNA (tRNA) molecules are approximately 80 nucleotides in length. Their secondary structure includes four short double-helical elements and three loops (D, anti-codon, and T loops).
Source: RNAcentral
GCACCCGUAGUUCAAUGGAUAGAAUACAGGCCUCCGAAGCCUGGGAUCCAAGUUCGACUCUUGGCGGGUGCA